RNAcentral lists this ribosomal RNA (459 nucleotides) under uncultured bacterium. RNAcentral's name for it is "bacterial SSU rRNA". It matches the Rfam family "Bacterial small subunit ribosomal RNA", at positions 977 to 1434 of the family's 1533-position model. The record is from RNAcentral.
GGGCUUGACAUCCCACGAACCUGCCGAAAGGCAGGAGUGCCUGCAAGGGAGCGCGGAGACAGGUGGUGCAUGGCUGUCGUCAGCUCGUGUCGUGAGAUGUUGGGUUAAGUCCCGCAACGAGCGCAACCCUUAUGAUCAGUUACCAGCGGGUGAAGCCGGGGACUCUGGGGAGACUGCCGGUGACAAACCGGAGGAAGGUGGGGAUGACGUCAAGUCCGCAUGGCCUUUAUGUCUGGGGCCACACACGUGCUACAAUGGCCGGUACAGAGCGUCGCGAUCCCGCGAGGGGGAGCUAAUCGCAAAAAGCCGGCCUCAGUUCGGAUUGCAGGCUGCAACUCGCCUGCAUGAAGUUGGAAUCGCUAGUAAUCGCAGAUCAGCAGGCUGCGGUGAAUACGUUCCCGGGCCUUGUACACACCGCCCGUCACAUCACGAAAGCUGGCUGUACUCGAAGUCGCUUAG